GCACCGGUAGUGUCCGGGACACACCGCUUCCUUUCCCGCAGGCUGUAUUAAGCGGAGUCGGGGUUCGAGUCCCCGCUGGUGCG
Mycena galericulata is the source of this 83-nucleotide non-coding RNA. NCBI's taxonomy places the organism in Eukaryota, Fungi, Basidiomycota, Agaricomycetes, Agaricales, Mycenaceae. The record is from the annotation of a GenBank genome assembly.